Molecule: ribosomal RNA, 253 nt
Filed under: uncultured bacterium
Lineage: Bacteria
Description: partial 16S ribosomal RNA
Rfam family: Bacterial small subunit ribosomal RNA
Source: RNAcentral
UACAGAGGUCCCAAGCGUUGUUCGGAUUCAUUGGGCGUAAAGGGUGCGUAGGCGGUGCCGCAAGUCAGAUGUGAAAUCUCGGGGCUUAACUCCGAAACUGCAUUCGAUACUGCCGUGCUUGAGGACUGGAGAGGAGACUGGAAUUUACGGUGUAGCAGUGAAAUGCGUAGAUAUCGUAAGGAAGACCAGUGGCGAAGGCGAGUCUCUGGACAGUUACCGACGCUGAGGCACGAAGGUCAGGGGAGCAAACGGG